CGGUUGGUCUAUUAAACUGGAGGUCAUGUAGUCGACGCACAGCGAAGGUGCUUGCACCUUUCAAGUGAGUGGCGAACGGGUGAGUAACACGUGGACAACCUGCCUCAAGGCUGGGGAUAACAUUUGGAAACAGAUGCUAAUACCGAAUAAAACUUAGUGUCGCAUGACACAAAGUUAAAAGGCGCUUCGGCGUCACCUAGAGAUGGAUCCGCGGUGCAUUAGUUAGUUGGUGGGGUAAAGGCCUACCAAGACAAUGAUGCAUAGCCGAGUUGAGAGACUGAUCGGCCACAUUGGGACUGAGACACGGCCCAAACUCCUACGGGAGGCUGCAGUAGGGAAUCUUCCACAAUGGGCGAAAGCCUGAUGGAGCAACGCCGCGUGUGUGAUGAAGGCUUUCGGGUCGUAAAGCACUGUUGUAUGGGAAGAACAGCUAGAAUAGGAAAUGAUUUUAGUUUGACGGUACCAUACCAGAAAGGGACGGCUAAAUACGUGCCAGCAGCCGCGGUAAUACGUAUGUCCCGAGCGUUAUCCGGAUUUAUUGGGCGUAAAGCGAGCGCAGACGGUUUAUUAAGUCUGAUGUGAAAGCCCGGAGCUCAACUCCGGAAUGGCAUUGGAAACUGGUUAACUUGAGUGCAGUAGAGGUAAGUGGAACUCCAUGUGUAGCGGUGGAAUGCGUAGAUAUAUGGAAGAACACCAGUGGCGAAAGGCGGCUUACUGGACUGCAACUGACGUUGAGGCUCGAAAGUGUGGGUAGCAAACAGGAUUAGAUACCUGGUAGUCCACACCGUAAACGAUGAACACUAGGUGUUAGGAGGUUUCCGCCUCUUAGUGCCGAAGCUAACGCAUUAAGUGUUCCGCCUGGGGAGUACGACCGCAAGGUUGAAACUCAAAGGAAUUGACGGGGACCCGCACAAGCGGUGGAGCAUGUGGUUUAAUUCGAAGCAACGCGAAGAACCUUACCAGGUCUUGACAUCCUUUGAAGCUUUUAGAGAUAGAAGUGUUCUCUUCGGAGACAAAGUGACAGGUGGUGCAUGGUCGUCGUCAGCUCGUGUCGUGAGAUGUUGGGUUAAGUCCCGCAACGAGCGCAACCCUUAUUGUUAGUUGCCAGCAUUCAGAUGGGCACUCUAGCGAGACUGCCGGUGACAAACCGGAGGAAGGCGGGGACGACGUCAGAUCAUCAUGCCCCUUAUGACCUGGGCUACACACGUGCUACAAUGGCGUAUACAACGAGUUGCCAACCCGCGAGGGUGAGCUAAUCUCUUAAAGUACGUCUCAGUUCGGAUUGUAGUCUGCAACUCGACUACAUGAAGUCGGAAUCGCUAGUAAUCGCGGAUCAGCACGCCGCGGUGAAUACGUUCCCGGGUCUUGUACACACCGCCCGUCACACCAUGGGAGUUUGUAAUGCCCAAAGCCGGUGGCCUAACCUUUUAGGAAGGAGCCGUCUAAGGCAGGACAGAUGACUAGGUAGACUCACGACAAGAGAUUAUCACUGUG
Molecule: ribosomal RNA, 1494 nt
Filed under: Leuconostoc mesenteroides
Lineage: Bacteria; Bacillati; Bacillota; Bacilli; Lactobacillales; Lactobacillaceae
Description: bacterial SSU rRNA
Rfam family: Bacterial small subunit ribosomal RNA
Source: RNAcentral